Molecule: ribosomal RNA, 457 nt
Filed under: uncultured bacterium
Lineage: Bacteria
Description: bacterial SSU rRNA
Rfam family: Bacterial small subunit ribosomal RNA
Source: RNAcentral
CCUACGGGGGGCUGCAGUAAGGAAUAUUGCUCAAUGGCCGAAAGGCUGAAGCAGCAACGCCGCGUGGAGGAUGAAAUACUUUUGUAUGUAAACUCCUGUAAGAAGGGAAAAAUAUUCCGAUUUAUCGGGAUUGAUUGUACCUUCAGAGUAAGCCCCGGCUAACUACGUGCCAGCAGCCGCGGUAAUACGUAGGGGGCAAGCGUUGUCCGGAUUUACUGGGUGUAAAGGGUGCUCAGGUGGACUUUUAAGUCAGAGGUGAAAUCCCAAAGCUUAACUUUGGAGCUGCCUUUGAUACUGAAAGUCUAGAGUUUGAGAGAGGGCAAUGGAAUAUCUGGUGUAGCAGUGAAAUGCGUAGAUAUCAGAUAGAACACCAAUGGCGAAGGCAGUUGCCUGGCUCAAAACUGACGCUAAAGCACGAAAGUGUGGGGAGCAAACAGGAUUAGAUACCCCAGUAGUC